AACGAACGCUGGCGGCAUGCCUAACACAUGCAAGUCGAACGAGAUCUUCGGGUCUAGUGGCGCACGGGUGCGUAACGCGUGGGAAUCUGCCCUUUGGUUCGGAAUAACAGUUGGAAACGACUGCUAAUACCGGAUGAUGACGAAAGUCCAAAGAUUUAUCGCCAGAGGAUGAGCCCGCGUAGGAUUAGCUAGUUGGUGUGGUAAAGGCGCACCAAGGCGACGAUCCUUAGUUGGUCUGAGAGGAUGAUCAGCCACACUGGGACUGAGACACGGCCCAGACUCCUACGGGAGGCAGCAGUGGGGAAUAUUGGACGAUGGGCGAAAGCCUGAUCCAGCAAUGCCGCGUGAGUGAUGAAGGCCUUUGGGUUGUAAAGCUCUUUUACCCGGGAUGAUAAUGACAGUACCGGGAGAAUAAGCUCCGGCUAACUCCGUGCCAGCCGCCGCCGUAA
RNAcentral lists this ribosomal RNA (449 nucleotides) under uncultured bacterium. Its description in RNAcentral is "partial 16S ribosomal RNA". It matches the Rfam family "Bacterial small subunit ribosomal RNA", at positions 29 to 523 of the family's 1533-position model. The record is from RNAcentral.